This 101-nucleotide small nuclear RNA is filed under the name Microcebus murinus (gray mouse lemur). The record is from RNAcentral. Lineage: Eukaryota; Metazoa; Chordata; Mammalia; Primates; Cheirogaleidae.
GUGCUUGCUUUGGCAGCACAUACACUAAAAUUGGAAUGAUACAGAAGAGCAUGGCCCCUGUGAAAUAAAAACAAUUGACAAAAGAAAAUAACUAUUCUGUA